Molecule: long non-coding RNA, 337 nt
Organism: Halichondria panicea
Lineage: Eukaryota; Metazoa; Porifera; Demospongiae; Suberitida; Halichondriidae
Exons: 2
Source: RefSeq, a predicted model, not a curated record
UAUCUCAAAACUAAAUAGUCUCUUGUCUCAGCUCAUCCACCGGCACCAUGAUCAUUCCUAUUCGCUGCUUCACUUGUGGGAAAGUGGUGGGCAACAAGUGGGAGUCUUACCUGGGAUUGCUACAGGCAGAGUUCACAGAGGGUGAUGCCCUCGAUGCACUCAGACUCAGGAGAUACUGCUGCAGGAGAAUGCUACUGUCUCAUGUUGAUCUCAUAGAGAAAUUGCUCAACUAUGCACCAUUGGAGAAAUGACUAACUUUACUAGUGACUCUUCAACAACUAUAUAAUUCCUUGCAUUUUCGUGUACACUUACAAUUGAUUUUGUACACAUAACUCCA